Nerophis ophidion (straightnose pipefish) is the source of this 678-nucleotide long non-coding RNA. RefSeq lists it as uncharacterized. Lineage: Eukaryota; Metazoa; Chordata; Actinopteri; Syngnathiformes; Syngnathidae. The transcript has 3 exons. The record is from RefSeq and is a predicted model, not a curated record.
GCUCGUUUAAUCAUAGACGUCACCGCGGAUAACAGCAGCGGCUAAAUCCUUAACAUGUCGAGACGCCUGGAGACAAGCAGACGGUCCGGAGGAACCGCAUCAUUUGUCAACGGAAAUGAUGUUGAACGGGACGUCAGAAACUGUGGGAGACCUUGCACUGAUUUUUAAUUCACCGCUAAAUACUGCAUCCCAUCAUUUCUAUAUUGUGAACGACUUUCCCUGUCGCUCGGGUUCCAUGGACCACUCAGGAAGGACAUGAUCGCUUGAACAGUGUCACGGCGUGAGCUUGCCGUUGUUGGUGUGACCCCAGGAUGCAGAGACGAGAGGCGGCGUGCAUUUGGAUUAUUUUAAUGAUGAAAAAGGAAGCAAAUAUCCACAGGUGAAGCUUUACUCUGGAUCAGAGCGGUCAAGCGAACAUGGAUCCCGACCAAAUGUCAACCGGCAUUUUUCGGUGAGAAAACUGUGGUAAUAAGUUUGCUCUUACCGGUGACAUCAGCAGAGCUUCCAGCUGCGUGACUUCCCUCAGAGACACUGGGUCAACACUCCCGUGGCCACACCCCUCCGACUUUCAGGUACUAUUUAAUCUCACUAAAACACUAACACAAUAGAAAGAUAAGUGAUUUUCCAGAAUUAUCAUAGUAAAUGUGUCUAAUAACAUUUGAAUCACUCCCACUGCAA